GAUGAAGAACGCAGCGAAAUGCGAUAAGUAGUGUGAAUUGCAGAAUUCAGUGAAUCAUCGAAUCUUUGAACGCACAUUGCGCCCCUUGGUAUUCCAUGGGGCAUGCCUGUUCGAGCGUCAUUUGUACCCUCAAGCUUUGCUUGGUGUUGGGCGUCUUGUCGUAUUACGACUCGCCUUAAAUACAUUGGCAGCCGGCACUUUGGCCUAGGAGCGCAGCACAUUUUGCGAUCGUAGCCCGUUGUACUGGCGUCCAUCAAGAACAUUUACCACGUUUGACCUCGGAUCAGGUAGGGAUACCCGCUGAACUUAAGCAUAUCAAUAAGCGAGGA
RNAcentral lists this unclassified non-coding RNA (329 nucleotides) under soil metagenome. Its description in RNAcentral is "partial contains 5.8S ribosomal RNA, internal transcribed spacer 2, and large subunit ribosomal RNA". The stretch from base 1 to 120 matches the Rfam family "5.8S ribosomal RNA", at positions 35 to 154 of the family's 154-position model. The record is from RNAcentral.